RNAcentral lists this ribosomal RNA (254 nucleotides) under uncultured bacterium. Its description in RNAcentral is "partial 16S ribosomal RNA". It matches the Rfam family "Bacterial small subunit ribosomal RNA", at positions 524 to 776 of the family's 1533-position model. The record is from RNAcentral.
UACGUAGGCAGCGAGCGUUGUUCGGAGUUACUGGGCGUAGAGGGUGUGUAGGCGGUUGGUUAAGUUUGGUGUGAAAUCUCCCGGCUCAACUGGGAGGGUGCGCCGAAUACUGAAUGACUUGGAGUGCGGGAGAGGUGAGUGGAAUUCCCGGUGUAGUGGUGAAAUGCGUAGAUAUCGGGAGGAACACCAGUGGCGAAGGCGACUACCUGGCCUGUUCUUGACGCUGAGGCGCGAAAGCUAGGGGAGCAAACGGG